AUUGAACGCUGGCGGCAUGCCUAACACAUGCAAGUCGAACGGUAACAGGCCCUUCGGGCGCUGACGAGUGGCGGACGGGUGAGUAAUGCUUAGGAAUCUGCCUAGUAGUGGGGGAUAACCCGGGAAACUCGGGCUAAUACCGCAUACGUCCUACGGGAGAAAGCGGGGGACCGUUCGGCCUCGCGCUAUUAGAUGAGCCUAAGUCCGAUUAGCUAGUUGGUAGGGUAACGGCCUACCAAGGCGACGA
This 247-nucleotide ribosomal RNA is filed under the name uncultured bacterium. RNAcentral's name for it is "partial 16S ribosomal RNA". It matches the Rfam family "Bacterial small subunit ribosomal RNA", at positions 30 to 279 of the family's 1533-position model. The record is from RNAcentral.